Molecule: transfer RNA, 72 nt
Filed under: Neorickettsia sp. 179522
Lineage: Bacteria; Pseudomonadati; Pseudomonadota; Alphaproteobacteria; Rickettsiales; Anaplasmataceae
Description: tRNA-Gln
Rfam family: tRNA
About the family: Transfer RNA (tRNA) molecules are approximately 80 nucleotides in length. Their secondary structure includes four short double-helical elements and three loops (D, anti-codon, and T loops). Further hydrogen bonds mediate the characteristic L-shaped molecular structure. tRNAs have two regions of fundamental functional importance: the anti-codon, which is responsible for specific mRNA codon recognition, and the 3' end, to which the tRNAs corresponding amino acid is attached (by aminoacyl-tRNA synthetases). tRNAs cope with the degeneracy of the genetic code in two manners: having more than one tRNA (with a specific anti-codon) for a particular amino acid; and 'wobble' base-pairing, i.e. permitting non-standard base-pairing at the 3rd anti-codon position.
Source: RNAcentral
UGGGAUGUAGCCAAGCGGUAAGGCAACGGUUUUUGGUAUCGUGACGCGCAGGUUCGAAUCCUGCCAUCCCAG